GGGCUGGUAGUUCAACCCGGUAGAAUGCCCGCCUGGCUUGCGGGAGGCUCGGGGUUCAAAUCCCCGCCAGUCCA
Molecule: transfer RNA, 74 nt
Filed under: Candidatus Woesearchaeota archaeon
Lineage: Archaea; Nanobdellati; Candidatus Woesearchaeota
Description: tRNA-Ala
Rfam family: tRNA
About the family: Transfer RNA (tRNA) molecules are approximately 80 nucleotides in length. Their secondary structure includes four short double-helical elements and three loops (D, anti-codon, and T loops).
Source: RNAcentral